UAAGGUUCACAUUCUUAUUUAAUGUUUACUUCAAAGUACUUUUUGUUGUCAUGUGUGUGUGGAUGCGAUAUGUUUACAAGUUGCCGACUUAUUUCCAUUGAUUAAGACUUUAAUAAAUCACAUUUGAGCAAAAAUAAUAAUAAUAAUCCGGUUUUGAUAGGUUAACCGACGUAUCAGUAUCACCUAUAAGCCAUUUUGUGAAGAUCGAUGUGAGUUUGGGAGGAUGGGAUUGAUUACACGAACAUAUUUUGUAGGAUUAAAGUCUGUUAAUAUCAAAUAAAGAAAAACCUUGAUACAGUUUUAUUGUGAUACGUAUAAAUUUG
RNAcentral lists this long non-coding RNA (323 nucleotides) under Capsella grandiflora. RNAcentral describes it as "long non-coding RNA (CGRA_LNC000743)". Lineage: Eukaryota; Viridiplantae; Streptophyta; Magnoliopsida; Brassicales; Brassicaceae. The record is from RNAcentral.